UUCAAAUUGAAACUCACAGGAAUACGGAGAAGCUCAUUUUGAGACUAAUAGUUAAAAAAAAUCCGAUUGUUAUCGGAAAUUGACGGGAAAGUAAACGUAAUUCCACUAUUAAUGGCGCCUCCUCAAGAUGGCAAAGCAGCUGAAGUCAAAGAGGAAUCUGUACCUCAACGCCCAAUCUCCGAUGUCGUUUUCAUUAUUGGUACUCCAUUUUUCUAUAUAUAUUUUGAGAUUUUUUUGUGUUUGUUAGUAUGUAUUUAUAUGCUAACUUCUUUGUGUGUGUGUGUGAAUGGUGAAUAGCUAUGAAGAAGGAGGCUUCACCUCUAGUGGAGAAGUUCCAGCUCACCGAAGAAUCCAAUUCUCUGUGGGCCUUCUUUUUUUAUUUAAGCUUUAUAAGUAAUUUAGUUCAGUUGAGAUCCGACCAAAAAAAAAAAAAAACUGAGAAAAAUGAGGAUUGGGAAAAAGUAAAGGAGACUGACUGUCUCGUACAAUUUGUACUGGUGAUCUUUGGAAAGUUUAAGCCUACUGUAGUGAUAAGUGGAAUUUAAUAACGACUCGUUUAUUUAUGCUCAGUCAUUGUUGGAUUUAAAAUAAAUUAAUUGGAAAAGAAUGUGUUUUGUUAUAUUGUUGCCAUUCUACAAGUGGCCGUUACCCUUUUAUGAUUUGUUUUAUCUAUUAUCAUUUUGUGAAAAUGAUGCAGGUUUCCAAAGGGGGUCCCGUGGGUGAGGUACAGUGGAAAAUAUAAAGAUCUGAAUAUCAACAUUGUUUCCCCUGGAAAAGACAUAGUUUUGGGUCUCUCUCUCUCUUUCCUCCUUAAUUCUUGAUGGCAUGUUAUGGAUUUUGAUUUUGUUACGUGAAUUGUUUUCAGUCUCUGGUAUAUGUGUUCACUAUUAAGCCUAAUCUGCUUAUUUCUAGAUAUUUUGUCAUUUUGGCCCUAUUGUGAUGAUAAGAUUCUUUGAAAAGAUUUGAACAUAUUUUCUCCGAAACUAAAUAAAAUUAAGUACCAUGUAGUUAAGAGCGAUCAAUAAACCUUAUCCUUGGGCCAUUCAAUAUUUUUUCAUCCAGGGGUGGCGGUGGGUAGGGGGAUUGGUAUCGGAGGAAUCACUAUGAAAGUGGUUGAUCAUUCUUGAGUAUAUGUUAUUUUUAGUAGAGGAAGAAGGUAUGCAGUCACAUUAAGUUCUGUAACUGGAUUAUGAAUAUUGUGAUGCAUUAUGCAGUUUAAGGAGCUUUGUUGUUAUUUGUUGCCAUUGUUGGUUAGUCACCACAGUGAAUUUCCGACCGCUGUGUUCUUAAUUGUUUCUUUAUCAGGUGUUGACAGCGUAGGCACAGUUUCUGCAUCACUUAUAACUUAUGCUUCUAUUCAAGCAUUGCAACCAGACCUUAUCAUAAAUGCAGGCACUGCUGGAGGUUUCAAGGUAUUAUGAAUGCGGAUAUGAUGGCUUUCAUUUUUUUAUUUUUAUUUUUUAGAUGUGUUGAUCUUCUGAACCUUAUCAUAAUUGUUUAUAUUUCCAUCCUCCUUUUUCCAUGUGGCAUUUAUCGAUUCUGCUGCUGAUAGUUUUUUUCAUAUAUGUAAAAUUUGCCCUGGUUCCUUCCUUUCUUAUUCUUUUAACCAAUUUCUUUAGAUAUUUUCUUUUUCUUUUUCUUUUUCUUUUUCUAUUUUUACUUGUACUUUCUAUUUCCCUCUGUUGUUUGUUGUCUGACUGAUUCUGUAUUUAUAUGGACACCAAAAUGUUAAAACUUCUUUCCUAAAAAGUCAAUGUCACGUUUUCAGUAAAGAAUUUGAUUUAUUUCUUUGUGUUAUGACAUUUUACGCACAUUUUAGGUUCUGGCUUCCUUCGACUUGUACUAGAUGGAAUCUAUUACCUUGCUGAUAUAGAAGUUACAGUCAUAUCUUAAAUAUAGGAUAACAAAGUCACACUUACUACAGAGAGUGUUUAAUCACUCUUUUGUUGCAUAUCUUAUAUUGAUAUCUAGAUUUUACCAGGCAAAAGGUGCUUGCAUAGGUGAUGUAUACCUUGCAUCAGAUGUUGCUUUCCAUGACCGAAGAAUUCCUAUCCCUGUAAGUUUUUCCGUCUUUAUUUUUCCUCAUUUAUUUUUUCCUGGUGCAUGGCUGGGGCAGAUACAAUUAGACAUCAUCAAAUGAAAGCAACACCAAAUUUAUUGGGAACAGAAAACAAGGCUCAAUUUUUUGUUACAUAUACACAUCGUAGGGGAAAAAUAUACUUUAUUGUGUUCUCAAUUUGUUGUUUAUAGGAGCCCAGUAGUAAUGAAAACUGAAGAAGGGUUCCAUUCUUUUAAGGUUGUGGCAUGCACUAAUUUGCUGGUAGAGAAUUGAUUUCUAGAUCACUUUACUAGGUUGGCUUAUGAAGUGAUAUACAUAUUAGACUACUUGAAUUCUAAUAUUUGGUAAAGUUUCUUCUGUUACUGUGAGAAAGUUGUUUUAUGUUUUGUCAGGCUGUCUUUCAAUUUAACUUCUAUGUUACUUUUUUUUUGUCCAUGUUUUAUUGGAAACAAUUGAAGCUUCCAAAUAUAAUAUAUUGUUUAUAUUAAGAAAAUAUAUGUAGAAAUUUAGUGGCAAUUACGCCAUGAGUCUAUUGCAUUACUAAUGGUAAGAAUUCGAACAUCUCAAAUUUGGGAAGUCACGGCGAUAGAGCAAGUCAUUGAAUGUCCUAGCUAAUCCUUUACAUUGGAUACCUCGUAGUAUUGCUGGUGUCCAAAAGACCUUUGCUAGAAUGGAUCAGUUUGCUGGAGUUUAUCCAGUUGUUUUAUGCUCGUUAUGUACUAGUACUUGUGCAUCUUGAUCUGUUCUUCGCAGUUUAACUUCAUUGUUAUCCAGUUACCUCCACUUUACCGGUUAGGGUUGGGCAAAACUUUCGAACCGAACUGUACCCGAACCGAGCGGUUCUUAUUAAAUUAAAUACCCAAACGGGUAACCGAAUCGAGAAUUGAGGGGUUCAAUUUGGUUCUCGAUUCUAGAUCAAUAAUUGAAUAACCGAAUAAGAACCGAAUUUUCCUAAUUUUUUAAAUUUAUUUAUUUUAAAUAAGCCAAAUUAUUUUAUUUUUUCUAAAUAAAUUUGCUAACUAGUUUUUUUAGCUCAACCCAAAAAUAUGAUUUUCCUAUCUCUAAUUUUCAGUCCAAGUCCAACUUACAAGUCCAACUUAAAUUAAAUUGACCCAAUUUUUAUCCAAAUAUGUUAUUUUACUAUAAUGUCGUUUCUACCAUUCUGGAGAUAUUGAAUUGAAACUCGAUAACGUCUCUCUUAAUUAUUAUGAGCUUGCUAUCUUCCUCUUCUUGUGAUUUUAACAAUCAAAAUUAUGAAGAGCUCAACAAAGAUAAACAUAAAAGAUAUACAAGAUUGGACUACGUUAUUUUGUAAGAGCUAAGAUUGAACAUGCUUUGUAAAUAUUAAAAAAAUUAAUUAUAGUACAGAACUUGAAAAUCGAACUGAACUGAAUGGAACCAAAUCCGAACGGUUCCAUAAUUAAAUUUGGACUCGACGGUUCUACUUACUAAAUACCCGAAAAUUUCGGGACCUAUUCGGUUCUCGUUAGAACAGAACCGAAUCGGACGAUGCCCAACCCUAUUAUCGGUUAUAUACAGGUCAUUUACUAUCUAUUUGAAGCAGUAGUCGUCUGCACCCAAAAAUGUUUAUCUAUGUCUACAACCAUAUAUCGAGUUCAUUUACUUUAAGAUUAAUGUGAAUCGUGCUAUUGUUUUGGAUAACAUCUUAACCUUAACGUGACUUCUUUCAAUCUGCAGGUAUUUGACCUGUAUGGUGUAGGCACACGACAAGCGUGCUCAACCCCCAAUCUUGCGAAGGAGCUA
This 3823-nucleotide long non-coding RNA is filed under the name Olea europaea subsp. europaea. The record is from RNAcentral. Lineage: Eukaryota; Viridiplantae; Streptophyta; Magnoliopsida; Lamiales; Oleaceae.